CCAACCCUGGAGCUCCUGUACGGAGUCCGGUCCUCGUGGGUGAAGGGAUUCCAACCACGGGGGGUAUAGGACCGUCGAUUCCUCCCAGGUCUAUCAUGGAUAUUUAACUGCAGUUCUGUGAGUAUCCCAACAUAACCAUGAAGAUGAACUGCAAAAUGUAAGUCAUUCAUUUCUCAUUACUCUUGGGCACUUUGAUGUAUUUUGGCUUCCUAGUGAGUUAACCCGGUACCUGAAGGUUGAUCCGAGUAGCAAGGAUGUUUUAUUGGUUCAUGGGUUACUUAGGUGUUUGGUUUAUGUUGGUUUUAAUGGUUUGUUAAAAUGGUUACAGGCCCCAAAUUAUUGUUGUAAGAUGGAGUAAUGGGUUGGGUUCUGAUAUCUUCAGUCUUCUUUCCAGUUACUCUCCUGAGCUCUGCAUCUUCAUCACAUGAGUGUUGCUUUACUGAUGAGGUUGUGGUCUGAGUGAGCAGAGGUGCAUACUGGGAUACAGAGCUGUCUGAAGUCUACAGGUCUGUAGACACGCCCCCUCAGGGGAAACCGAGUGUUUGAGAAACCGUCGUGACGUCAGUUACAUGGACUGGAAUGUUCUUAAAGAUGGAGACAGGGAUUCAGAAGGAGAAACGCCAGGGGGAGAUGAGGGGGCUCCUCAUCUCAACGACUAAAACACAACUUCAGUCUGACACGGAGAACCAUGGAACACAUUCAACAGUCCCCUCCAGGCAUCGUGACUCCUCAGGAACAGUUUCAUUACCAAGAAGGUCUUAUUUGGGGCCAUCCCCAGAUGGAUCCUGCUCCUCAAGAGCCACCCCCCUCCACUGGGUGGUCUUCUGAACAGAUGACGUCCUUCCUGUCCUCAGGCUGACUAAAGCUGCACCGUUUGCAGCUGUGAAGGCCCCUCAUUCAGGAAACCACUGGACUACAAAGACAUGACUUCAGAGACGUUGAAUCAACCUUGGACACAUUUUGGAGACGCCAAGCAUAAUCCAUCACCAAUGUGGGACGCCACUGAAAAAUGUUGCACACAAUUAACUUCUCUGGAGACAUUGGUUGUUCUGUUCUGGGUGCCCUGGCGGGAGAGCUGGGGUUGGAUGAUGGAAUGUUCUUUGGCAUGAGGCUUUUACCCUGCAUGAUUGUUUGGCCUUUUAUGGCUCAGUGGUGUGUGUUUGUGUGUGUGUGUGGUUGGGUUUGACAUGAGAUGGCUGAUUUUUGAGUAUCACUAGGGUUCUACUGUGUCCGUUUCCCACACCUGGCAUGGGGUUCUACGUGCGUGUCCUGGGUUCUAUGCGUGUGUCCGGCUUGCUUUGAACGUGAUAAUGUUCACACGAUGAUCUGUGUGAUUGGCUUGGGAUAUUGGACUGGUCAACUAAAUCAUACCUGAUGGACGGCCACAUGUUUACUUGAGGCCUCCAGUAGACGUGAAGAGCCCUGAGUGACGCUCCGGAGCGAUAUCCAACACACUGGGCAGGAAGGAGAGUAUCCAACUCAAGUGUAAAAGGAUGCAAGCGGCGUGUUCAGAUCAGUGACUUCAAACUAGGACUAAACCAAUCAGGAUCAAUGGAGGAUGGACACCUAAAGGCAUUCCACAAGGAGAGUCUGACGUUGGAAAGGGACCUAAAUGGAUAUUCAAGAUGACCUUCAGACCUGUAAUGAGACGGCUCUUCCUACCUGGCUGGAUUGAUGGAGAGCCCUGUGGAUCUUGUCUUGCUCUCAGUUGCACGUCUUCUCAGGCUGAACUGUACUUGUUUCGGACAGGACUAGCUGAACGAUUGGUUCCCUAAAAUCAGAACCAAUCCGGGAACUCCAGCUAGUGCACUCUUCGAGCUGAAGUUGUGCUCUUCAGCUGAGGAGGUAAGGAAACCUUCACUGGGGCUUCAAGGUGUAAGAGGAGAAUGUUUCAAUGUGUUCCAUGGUACUCUGAUGAAGACCGUUGGUGUGUUCCACUGGCUGAGAGGAAGAACCCUCACAUCUUCCUCUUGGCCUUUCUCCUCUGAGAAUCCUGGCGCCAUCUUGAAGGAUAUUCCAGCUCAUGUAACUGAUGUCACGACAGAUUCUCAGACACUUGGUUUCUCCUGAGGGGCGUGUCUAUAGAACUGAAGACUUCAGAAAGCACUUUAUCCCAGCAUGCAUCUCUGCUCACUCAGACCACACCCCCAUGAGUAGGAUGCAACACUCUUGGGAUGGAGAUGUAGUGUUUUAUAAGUAACGAGGGAGCAGACUAAGGGGAUUAGAACGUAAUAGAAUGUCAAGUCUAAAUCUUUAAACCAUGAAGAUGGUUGGAAAAGUCAGGAAUUUGGCUUAUUUUUAAUGUGGGCAGUCCUUUCACUCGGAUGCUCACUUGAAAUGUACAUGCGUUGGCUGGCUGGCAUGAUUUGCUGUUGGUGAUGAGGCGGUCAGGGUGACGUUGCAGGGCUAUGGUCGGCUCUCUGUGAGCUCAACGUUUAGAUUUUCUCUGGUUUGUACCCUGAAUAAUCUAGAUAAUUGUAAAAUGUAGACACGGUUUUGCAUUGAAUGAUUCCAGGAUUUUAGGUUUAAAGUUGUUGUACAUGGUAGUUUGGUUCUUCGUAUGGUUUUGAGUGAUUAUAACUUGUACACACUGGGUGCAUAAUAAUGUAAUGUUACACUGAAUAGUAUUAAUGACCAACAGCAACAAACAGAUCUCCUCAAGGUAAGUCUGUUGGCUGUAUUUUAAUGAAGACCAUCGCUGGACUUCAGGAUCUUCCUCUGUUCAGCUCAAGGUGAGGCGCUGGUUACGUUUUUUUCUUUGGUUGGUUCCGGCUGGAAUGUUCGGAUUCCAGUCGGACGGUUUGUGCUUCCCGCCGUGGAAGGUUCUGAGUGCGGUCCCUUGAUUUAGUCCCAAUGGUUAGCAUAGAAAGUUGUAGUCUUGACAACCAUAAGAACACUGACACGAAUUUCGUACAAUAUGUUAAUUUCCGAUGGUUGCGCCGUACUUUUAACCACGUUGACGGGACUCUCGCUGCGUACAAAACGGCGUUCUACUUGCGGCCCAAUUUUUGGUGAAGGCUGAAAAUCAUUUCAAGGUGGAAGACAAUUUGACAUUUCUUCAAAGGAACCUAGCACCUGAAUAUGAGUUGAGUAAAUUUGAUUUAAUAUUGAUACUGCUUAGUGUUCAUUGUUACUUCACUGUUACUUGCUGAUAUAAACCUCCUGUUGCUCAAAGGUGAGGCUGAGAGGCUUGGGACCGGAGGCUUGUGGUGCCAGGAUGGACCGGAGACUGAGGCUGGAGACCAGGGGCCUGCAGCACCGGACCAGAGGACCAGGAAUCCAUGGCUGAAGGAGCUGAUGGAAGCCCUGCCUGGUGGAGGAGCCAUGCUGAAAGCCCUGCCUGGUGGAGGAGCUGACGGAGGCCCUGCCUGGUGGAGGAUGUCUGUCGUGGGGACUCUGGUUUGGAGGAGAGCUGAUGGAGGAGCUGAUGGAGGAGCUGAGUCGCUGGAGGACGACUAGGAAUCGACCAACAAGGAUUCCUCAACGUGUUUCUGGAGCGGAGGCGAGCUGGUAGGGGAGCCGUGAAUCUGGAGGAUGACCAUCACUCUACCAACAAGGAUUGGAAAGACAAAUUACGUUUGUAACCAGACCAGAAAUCUGGAGGACUGAUGGGGAAGACGUACAUCUGGAAGGCAAAUCCUGAGGACAACCAGGACUCUACCAUCAAGGAUUCCUCACACACCUGACCUGAACCCGCCCUGAUCCUGACAUCCUGCUGGUCCCGUCUCCUCAGUUCAUCUGAGCCUCGUCCUCCAGAAGACCUGCUGAGCGCAGCAGUCUGAGGCUGAUGGAUCAAUGACCUCCAGUGGGAGUGAUCUUCUUGACCCCACAUGUAACCGUGUGCUUCCACACGCCUUUCCCUUACGUCUGUCACUAACUUCACUACUCUCUACUGCUUCCUCUUCUUCUUCCUUCUCUGUGGUUCGAACCUUUACACGGAAGGCGCGUCUUCCUGCCCUCAGAGGGUUCAGCGUUAGGGUUGAGAGUCAGGGUUUAGAGUCAGGGACAGAGCUGGUCAGGGAGGACUGCUUUUACACAAACCUCUUCACUUGCUUUCGGAAUGGUGGUGACAUUUUGAAAAGAUUCAUUCGGGAAAAUGUUUUCCUCUGCUUUCCUGUACAAAAUUGUAUUCAACUUCUGUCAAGUGUUUAUGUUUAUAUAUUAAAA
This is a long non-coding RNA of Gadus chalcogrammus (walleye pollock), 4167 nucleotides long. RefSeq lists it as uncharacterized. The transcript is spliced from 7 exons. Lineage: Eukaryota; Metazoa; Chordata; Actinopteri; Gadiformes; Gadidae. The record is from RefSeq and is a predicted model, not a curated record.